GAUGAACGCUGACAGAAUGCUUAACACAUGCAAGUCCACUUGAAUUUGGGUUUUUACCUUAGGUUUGGGUGGCGGACGGGUGAGUAACGCGUAAAGAACUUGCCUCACAGCUAGGGACAACAUUUGGAAACGAAUGCUAAUACCUAAUAUUAUGAUAAUAGGGCAUCCUAUAAUUAUGAAAGCUAUAAGCGCUGUGAGAGAGCUUUGCGUCCCAUUAGCUAGUUGGAGAGGUAACGGCUCACCAAGGCGAUGAUGGGUAGCCGGCCUGAGAGGGUGAUCGGCCACAAGGGGACGGAGACACGGCCCUUACUCCUACGGGAGGCAGCAGUGGGGAAUAUUGGACAAUGGACCGAGAGUCUGAUCCAGCAAUUCUGUGUGCACGAUGAAGUUUUUCGGAAUGUAAAGUGCUUUCAGUUGGGAAGAAACAAAUGACGGUACCAACAGAAGAAGUGACGGCUAAAUACGUG
RNAcentral lists this ribosomal RNA (467 nucleotides) under uncultured bacterium. Its description in RNAcentral is "partial 16S ribosomal RNA". It matches the Rfam family "Bacterial small subunit ribosomal RNA", at positions 28 to 507 of the family's 1533-position model. The record is from RNAcentral.